This 647-nucleotide ribosomal RNA is filed under the name uncultured Erythrobacteraceae bacterium. RNAcentral describes it as "bacterial SSU rRNA". It matches the Rfam family "Bacterial small subunit ribosomal RNA", at positions 1 to 664 of the family's 1533-position model. The record is from RNAcentral. Lineage: Bacteria; Pseudomonadati; Pseudomonadota; Alphaproteobacteria; Sphingomonadales; Erythrobacteraceae.
UGGCUCAGGAUGAACGCUAGCGGCAGGCCUAAACACAAGGUUAGAAUUUAGGCUCAGAACGAACGCUGGCGGCAUGCCUAACACAUGCAAGUCGAACGAACCCUUCGCGGUUAGUGUCGCACGGGUGGGUAACGCGUGGGAACCUGCCUUUAGGUUCGGAAUAACAGUUAGAAAUGAUUGGUAAUACCGGAUAAUGUCUUCGGACCAAAGAUCUAUCGCCUUUAGAUGGGCCCGGGUAGGAUUAGAUAGUUGGUGGGGUAAUGGCCUAGCAAGUCGACGAUCGUUAUCUGGUACGAGAGGAUGAUCACCCACACCGGGAUUGAGACACGGCCCACACUCAUACGGGAGGCAGCAGUGGGGAAUAUUGGACAAUGGCCGAAAGCCUGAUCCAGCAAUGCCGCGUGAGUGAUGAAGGCCUUAGGGUCGUAAAGCUUUUUUUCCAGGGAUGAUAAUGACAGUACCUGGAGAAUAAGAUCCGGCUAAAUCCGUGCCAGCAGCCGCGGUAAUACGGAGGGAGCUAGCGUUGUUUGGAAUUACUGGGGGUAAAGCGCAUGUAGGCGGCUUUCCAAGUCAGGGGGGAAAUCCCGGGGCUCAACCCCGGAACUGCCCUUGAAACUGGAUGGCUAGAAUACUGGAGAGGUGAGUGG